Molecule: transfer RNA, 61 nt
Filed under: Otolemur garnettii (small-eared galago)
Lineage: Eukaryota; Metazoa; Chordata; Mammalia; Primates; Galagidae
Rfam family: tRNA
About the family: Transfer RNA (tRNA) molecules are approximately 80 nucleotides in length. Their secondary structure includes four short double-helical elements and three loops (D, anti-codon, and T loops).
Source: Rfam by way of RNAcentral
GUGGCUCAAAGGAGUAGGGCGCUGGCCCCAUAUGCCAGAGGUGGCGGGUUCAAACCCUGCC